AAGGAUGAUGAUGACCUCCGGAGAGGCUGUCAAGUACAAGAGCUCCUUGGAUGCUUUCCAGCAGAUCCUGGCGAAGGAGGGUGCCAAGUCUCUCUUCAAGGGUGCUGGUGCCAACAUCCUCCGUGCCAUUGCUGGUGCUGGUGUGCUCUCCGGCUACGAUCAGCUCCAGAUCCUCUUCUUCGGCAAGAAGUACGGCUCAGGCGGUGCCUAGAGGGGAAGAAAUGAUGACGAACAAGAGAAGUCUGUUCCCAGUCCUGCCCUUCAAGGAUCUGGCGAACUUUUAUCUUUUUAACGUUGGAAGGCAAUAAUUUCUGUAGAGGGUGGAUUUUCCCAACAUUCGUUUUUGGUGGAGGCAUCGAACUCCAGAGGUUGUCGUAGGUUGGCGGCAGCGUUCUCAAAACAUUUACUAUCAUAGGGGUUGAGUUUGAGUUCGAGUAUGUGCCCUGAAUCGUUACUGGGCAAUUUUCCUUAAAUACAUUGUCCUCCAAUCCUACUGAGAUUAUUAUGGUCCAAGUUUAUGCUGUUGGUCUUGACAUCCUAUUUCUGUUUGCAUUUUUAGUUUAUGCUGUUGCUUUGCCUGUUCAUAAUUCUUAUUGAUUUGCCUGUGAUUCUUGUUUUACUUGCUUUGUCUGUGAGAUUCUGAUUCGUGUUAGUACACUGCCUCAGUUCCGAAAUGUAGUAGUGCGUAGCCAAACAUCACAAACUUUGAUCAAAUUUGCGCAACAUUUACAUCGUAUCAUUAACAAUAAUAAGUAUUUUCAUGUUAAAUAUAUUUCGUGUUGUAAGUAUAAAUAGUUUUAAAGUUCUGGAAAUUUUUGACUUUAAAAAAAAA
Molecule: long non-coding RNA, 832 nt
Filed under: Triticum aestivum (bread wheat)
Lineage: Eukaryota; Viridiplantae; Streptophyta; Magnoliopsida; Poales; Poaceae
Description: long non-coding RNA (TAES_LNC010626)
Source: RNAcentral